Mustela erminea (ermine) is the source of this 270-nucleotide long non-coding RNA. RefSeq lists it as uncharacterized. The record is from RefSeq and is a predicted model, not a curated record. The transcript is spliced from 3 exons. Lineage: Eukaryota; Metazoa; Chordata; Mammalia; Carnivora; Mustelidae.
CAAGGCUUCUGGAGUGUAUAUCAACUGCAAGUAUUCCUUUUCUUGAAACAGAUACAUUCUAGCACAUCCCUAUAAGAAGCCUGGUGACUAUGCACCAGCAACAGAAACAGGAGUUAGUUCCAAUGGGAGGAAUCAAUACUAGUAGGAAACAAUUUGGUUUUGGACAUGUCAAGAUUGAGGUGAUGGCAAGACACAAGUGGAAAAAUCCUGAGAGAAUCCAAGAAGAAAAAGGGUGAUACACAUGGAUUAAUAAAUAAACUUAUAAUUUCA